GUCUGGAAGUGGAAUUUAUGAGUCUUUAUGUAACCAAAAUGACAACAUCCGUGUGCAAGAGGGAGGAGGUACCAGCAGGCUUGGGGAAACUGCUAGGUUUACAGAAGUUACAAAAAACCCACAAAACCUUAGGCGGGUGGGGAGCUGAUAUUGAAAUCCAAGCAGGUGGGAAACAGUGGAUGGAAUCCUGAUCUGGACACACUUCAUAUUCCAACAGACAUCUCACUAAUCAUGGAUAUGUCCAAUUCAUGGGAUUCCCCACCCUUUCUUAAAGGCGGUAUAUUAGGCCACCCAGUGUCAGGGACCUUCUCCUGAACCUUCCAGAAAAGAGGAAGGCAGUAGAAAUCAGGGGUCAGCAAACAUUUUAGCCGUGGGCCAGUCCACCAUCCCUCAGACCAUGUGGGGGGCCGGACUAUAUUUUGAAGAAGAAGAAAAAUGAACAAAUCCCUAUGCCCCACAAAUAACCCAGAGAUGCAUUUUAAAUAAAAGCACACAUUCUACUCAUGUAAAAACACACUGAUUCCCAGACCAUCCUCGGGACGGAUUGAGAAGAUGAUUGGGCCGCAUCCGGUCCCCGGGCUUUAAGUUGCCUACCCCUGGUAUAGAUUUACAACAGUGGUUUGAGGGAGGUCAAAGCCUAGAGAUAGAUGAAGAGAAGAGCUGGGAAAUAAUGGGAGAAGAGGAGGGAGAGACAGAGCAGCCGGCUGACACGUCAUCACUAGAAGGCAUUCCAGACCCCGCUUCCACCAGACCCUAGUGAGCAUUGAAAGUAGGAGAGCAAAGGGCUCAGAGACAAGUGGCCCUAAGCAGCCACUUUAAAGGGGGCUGCUGCUGAUGAUGAUGAAUGAGGAGACAAGGGGAGGGGUGGAAAUUACUCAUAGCAAUGGCACCAAAGCAAGAGACUGCUUUUCUAAGCCUCUCUCUGUGAAUAUUUAAUAAAAGACUUUGGUAAGAACUGUUUUUCUGUUCCUGGCAGCCCACCGUGGGAGAGAGGAUCAGAUUCACUAAUGCCUGAGACCCAGGUCUCUGCAUGUUUAGGUGCUUGUGGCAUUCGUAUGGAGCCCCCGGUCAUUUCACAAACUAUUGACCCGUACACCACUAAUCCGCUGCCACCAACCAGGUUCUCCCUGGUAUAUCACUUAGUCGCAGUCAGGUCCUCAAGUUAACAACGAAAAUUGUAGUUUAUUGCAAGCACAAAUAAACUUUAAAUGCAUUCGAUACGCUGUUACCCUUUACCCUCUUUGUCUUAUUUUAUCCUGUCUCUAACUCUUCUACCUCCCCUCACACAAGAACCAACUGCACUAACUGUCUCUCUAUUUCCAUCUGUCUUCCAACUGCUUUCCUAACUGCUUUUUCCCCAACUGCUUUUCCCCAACUGUUGGAAAGGCAGUUUGGCCCUGACGCUAUAGCAGCAUCAGAAACACCCUUGCUGCUACAAGAUUUAAUUUCUGCAACAAAAACAAAGAACUCUACACUUGCACUAUAUAAAACCCUACUCAACAGAAAGAAGUAUGAUUUAGAAUAUUAUAGACAAAAAUGGAGUGAAGAGUUAGGGGUACAGAUAACAAAUGAUAUAUGAGAGUCAAGUAUAAAAUCAACAGAAAUAGCUUCUAUGGAUCUAAGACUAAGUUUUAUUCAGCAGAAAAUAAUAUUUAGAGUCCAUUGGACUCCAGCAAAACUUUACCAGAAGAAAAUAACAAAUGCAGACAACUGCUGGAGAUGUGGAAGUAAAAAUGAAAACUUAGUACAUUUGAUGAUUAACUGCCCGAUGAUAAGAUCAUUUUGGUGCGAGGUGAGGAUAUAUAUAGCAAGAGUAAUAAAAAGAAAUUGUUAUUUAGGGGAUUUGAAUCUAAUUCUAAAUUAUAUACUGGAAACGUGGGAGAUUACAAGGGAUCAAAAAAAAUGGAUGUACCGUGCCAUAUUAGAAGCAAAAAAAAAUUGUUUUGAUGAAUUGGAAGAGCCCAUUGAGCACAUGGAUUGACAAUAUGGACAGACUAGUUACAUACGAAUGAAUUGCAUAUCGACGCAAAUUAAGAAUGGAUAAAUAUGAAGAAAUCUGGAAGGAAUACUUAAGCGAUAAGGCGGAAAGUGGUGGGAAGCAGGGGGAGGAGAGGUGGGGAAAUAUUGUUAAAAAGGUGUAGUUAUAGGUAUAUAACUCUGGUUUUUCUAUUGGUCUACCUAUUAACCCUUUCUCUCCCCCUGUACAGACAUUUCCAAAAGAAUGGGCAAACGCCACAUCGCUCAUGUGAAGGGUUCAGUUAAGGCUUGAAGCUAUUUUCGGUGAUUUAGGGGAUGGGCUUGCACCAUUGCAGUGUAGCGGAGUGUAUAAACCAGGGCAUAAACUACGUAGGGCCAAGGAUAAUUAUAAGUGUAAGCUAUUAUGUAAAUUAAAGAAUCCAUAUCUUUUUCUCCUACCUACAGGCUUAAGUGGGAAGAAAUUUCUAGAAUAAAAAGUAAACAUUUCAAGAGACACCAGAGCUGUCUAUUGAAGUGCGUUUUUUCCCUUUUCUUUUAAAGGAAGACUAACCAGAUAUCUGUGAGGUCAUAUCAGUUUAUGGUUAUAUGAAAGAUGUAAACAUCAAACAAAGCCAGGGAACUGUUUAGCCUGGUUCAAAGAGGUAUAAUUAGAAAUAAUGGGGCGAAACUGAACAAAGGAAGAUUAAGGUUGACUCUCCAGGCAACAGUUCUAACAGUGAGAUCUAAUAGACUGUGAAAUUCUUUCUCGAAGAGGUGGUGGAGAUCUCCUGAAAGAUUUAAACAUCCACUGGACAAAGUACUUCAGAAUGUAACACUAAGGGAGCAGAAGAGAAGGCCUGUUUUUUAUCUUGGAUGUUUAAAACCGUUUUCCGGAUAGCUUCAGUUGCUGCAUCUGCCACUUAGGAUCACAUGGGUAAUAUUUAUAUUAGAAGAGUUAUUGUGUUUUGAGGAGAUACUUUGUGGCAUGGCAGCUGUUUCUAUGGGAAAGUGAACACUGGAAGCAUAUUUGAGCAAUAGUUUAAAUGUCUGCAAGCAGGGUGGUGAUUCAGCCCUGUGAAAAUCACCCCCCCAAACCAGUGGUUCCUGUAAGAGUAUUCAGGCGGAGCUCAGAAUCGCUGUUGUACUUUCUGUGGGGAUGAUUAGGGAG
Non-coding RNA from Podarcis lilfordi (Lilford's wall lizard), 3124 nucleotides. NCBI's taxonomy places the organism in Eukaryota, Metazoa, Chordata, Lepidosauria, Squamata, Lacertidae. The record is from the annotation of a GenBank genome assembly.